CUCAAGUGAGGUCAGUGCUGCUGUGUUUUCUAACAGGGGCACUGUCUUCAAUUGAAAC
Molecule: microRNA precursor, 58 nt
Filed under: Capitella teleta
Lineage: Eukaryota; Metazoa; Annelida; Polychaeta; Capitellidae
Description: Cte-Mir-1996_pre stem-loop
Source: RNAcentral